This 426-nucleotide ribosomal RNA is filed under the name bacterium gwi22. RNAcentral's name for it is "bacterial SSU rRNA". It matches the Rfam family "Bacterial small subunit ribosomal RNA", at positions 59 to 498 of the family's 1533-position model. The record is from RNAcentral.
AAGUCGAACGAUGAUCCCAGCUUGCUGGGGGAUUAGUGGCGAACGGGUGAGUAACACGUGAGUAACCUGCCCUUGACUCUGGGAUAAGCCUGGGAAACCGGGUCUAAUACCGGAUAUGACUUCCUGCCGCAUGGUGGGGGGUGGAAAGCUUUAUUGCGGUUUUGGAUGGACUCGCGGCCUAUCAGCUUGUUGGUGAGGUAAUGGCUCACCAAGGCGACGACGGGUAGCCGGCCUGAGAGGGUGACCGGCCACACUGGGACUGAGACACGGCCCAGACUCCUACGGGAGGCAGCAGUGGGGAAUAUUGCACAAUGGGCGCAAGCCUGAUGCAGCGACGCCGCGUGAGGGAUGACGGCCUUCGGGUUGUAAACCUCUUUCAGUAGGGAAGAAGCGAAAGUGACGGUACCUGCAGAAGAAGCGCCGGCU